AUUUAAAUAGUUUAAGAAAAACAUAAUAUUGAAGAUAUUAAAAUAAUAUUUUUAUUUUUAAAUA
RNAcentral lists this transfer RNA (64 nucleotides) under Pteromalus puparum. RNAcentral describes it as "tRNA-Phe". The record is from RNAcentral. Lineage: Eukaryota; Metazoa; Arthropoda; Insecta; Hymenoptera; Pteromalidae.